GACGAAGGGGGCAAGCGUUGUUCGGAAUUACUGGGCGUAAAGGGCUCGUAGGCGGCCAACUAAGUCAGACGUGAAAUCCCUCGGCUUAACCGGGGAACUGCGUCUGAUACUGGUUGGCUUGAAUCCGGGAGAGGGAUGUGGAAUUCCAGGUGUAGCGGUGAAAUGUGUAGAGAUCGGGAGGAACACCGGUGGCGAAGGCGGGUCUCUGGGCCGAUACUGACGCUGAGGAGCGAAAGCGUGGGGAGCGAACAGG
Molecule: ribosomal RNA, 253 nt
Filed under: uncultured bacterium
Lineage: Bacteria
Description: partial 16S ribosomal RNA
Rfam family: Bacterial small subunit ribosomal RNA
Source: RNAcentral